Molecule: ribosomal RNA, 483 nt
Filed under: uncultured bacterium
Lineage: Bacteria
Description: partial 16S ribosomal RNA
Rfam family: Bacterial small subunit ribosomal RNA
Source: RNAcentral
CUUUCCCUCUGGCGGCAUGCUUUACACAUGCAAGUCGAACGGCAGCGCGGGCUUCGGCCUGGCGGCGAGUGGCGAACGGGUGAGUAAUGCAUCGGAACGUGCCCAGUAGUGGGGGAUAGCCCGGCGAAAGCCGGAUUAAUACCGCAUACGACCUGAGGGUGAAAGCGGGGGACCGAAAGGCCUCGCGCUAUUGGAGCGGCCGAUGUCGGAUUAGCUAGUUGGUGGGGUAAAGGCUUACCAAGGCGACGAUCGGUAGCUGGUCUGAGAGGACGACCAGCCACACUGGGACUGAGACACGGCCCAGACGCCUACGGGAGGCAGCAGUGGGGAAUUUUGGACAAUGGGGGAAACCCUGAUCCAGCCAUGCCGCGGGCGGGAAGAAGGCCUUCGGGUUGUAAACCGCUUUUGUUCGGGAAGAAAUCCUCUGGGCUAAUACCCCGGGGGGAUGACGGUACCGGAAGAAUAAGCACCGGCUAACUACGU